This is a long non-coding RNA of Prunus persica (peach), 995 nucleotides long. RefSeq lists it as uncharacterized. NCBI's taxonomy places the organism in Eukaryota, Viridiplantae, Streptophyta, Magnoliopsida, Rosales, Rosaceae. The transcript is spliced from 2 exons. The record is from RefSeq and is a predicted model, not a curated record.
AUUCAAACCCAGGACCUUGCAUGAGGGAGUAAAUACUCCAAACCACUACACUAGUAGGUCCUUUUUAAAUACAAACGGGAUGCACAGUUCCAUUAAAAUCAAAGAAAAAUUAGUGUAUAGUAACAAAAAAACUUUAGUAAUUAGCAUAUGAUACAUUACCUAUUUUUGUUUUGGAUAUGGUGGAUGAGUUUUAAAUUUUAUUUUGUUAAAAGCCAACGGCCCUACCCAUGUGCUCUUUAAGCUUAUUUAAUUUGUAUUUGAAAUAACAUUUUUACCCUUCAUAUUUUAUAUGAGAGGCAGAUCACGCCUCAGCUAUGGAUUCAUCCUAAACGAAGAGCACGAGGUCGCAACCACCACCAACGACAACCAUGGCUAAGAAGGUCACUGCAAAGUGCCAGAGAAAGGCCUUUUUCACCGGAGAAGCAAUCGAUGACUGAGAAGGCAUUUUCUGGCGGAGAAGCAAUUGAUGAUGACCAUGGCUCGUCCUGGCGUCACAAUUGCCUACGGAGAAGGCGUUCUGCGGUCCAUGGAGAAGCAAUCGGAGAAUCGAUGCUGACGGAAUAGAUCUUCGUCUCCUGUGUUUGGUGUAGUGGUUUGUGAGUGAGCCUUCCUCCUUUAAGGGUCAAGGUUUGAGUCCAUUCAAUGACACAAGAGUCCGAUGGUGGUGGCCGACGGUGGUGGCCGGCGGCGGGAUUCCAGCAGUUGUGGGCGGCGGUGGGAUUCCGGGGGUGGUGGCUGGCGGUGGGAUUCUAGCGCUGAUGGUUGGCUAGAUAUGGACAUGUGGCAUAAUAUGCUUGCCUUAGAAGGAGUGACAUUGUGUGUAAUUUUGAUAUUUUUUAAUGAUAUUUUGUAAAAUUAGGUACUACAUUUUGGUCUUUAGCCUUAUGCUAGUUAGAUGAAAUUGUAAUAGUAUCUUCCAAAUUAGUAAACUAUAUUGUGUUUUAAAACUAAAACUCCCUAAAAUCAAUUGAAAUGGACCGUUUCCCUAAGGCAAA